Molecule: RNA transcript, 5206 nt
Organism: Lycium barbarum (goji berry)
Lineage: Eukaryota; Viridiplantae; Streptophyta; Magnoliopsida; Solanales; Solanaceae
Exons: 5
Source: RefSeq, a predicted model, not a curated record
GCCAUUUGACCAGUUUGUGAGGCAUGCGUGUCUAUCACUCUCUACUAAAAAUAAUUUAAAAUUAAAAAAAUACCACCCAUCGGGUAUGACCGUUUUUUCACUAAAAUAUUUCCCCCAAUCUUCCAAUAUCUGUCAUAAUCAAUGCUUAGGGUAAAAUUUACCCCUUUCCCUCCAAAAAUAAGAACCCUAACAGUGCUAUUGUCUUCUUCCCUUGCAAAAUUGAAGUGAAAAACGAGUUUUAAAUGAACAAGUGAAGUGUGACAGGUAGAAACGUAAGCAUUAAAGGAGAACAAUCAAGCGAUGGAAAUUGUUAAACGAAAGAGGUGUGUAAGGCUAGUCCCUUCAUUCUAAGGCAUGAUUCUUAUGGUAUGAAUCCUCCUAUCUUUCCACGAUUUUCCUACAUAUCGGGAAUUAUGAAUCUACGAGUAUAAAUGGCUUCAUACGAGAUAAAGAAAAGAGAUACGCUACGAGCAUGACAAUACCGAUAAUGAAUCUAAGUUUAGAAAUCCUAAAGCUCAUGAUACGACAUUCCUACGAAGCUAAUGAUCCUUAUAUGAUUCCUAUGAUAUUAUUUCCCUACCUCUCCAUGACUUUCUUACAUUCCGGGAACUAUGAGACAAUAUUGACAAAGAGCUUCUUAUGAGAUAAAGAUGAUAAAUAUGUCAUGAAUACGAAAAUAAUGAUGGUAAGUUUAAGCCUAGAGAUUCUAAAGCUAGAUAUGAUGUCUAUGAAGUUAAAGAUCCUAUUUACGAUCCCUUGAUGUUGUUCAUGGUUUACACUCACCUUAAAAUGUUAGUUCCUUCAAGGUGAGAUAUGAUGAAUAUGAUUACUCCAUAAUGGAAUCGGGGGCUCUCGACCUUAUGUCACCCCGACAUUGUUAUAGAUUGUCUAUAAGCUCUAAUGCAUGUCCUAUGACCAAUGUUCCGAAAAGUUAUGAGUCUUAUGUUCAUAGGGGGUUCCAUAUGAGAUAAAGGUAAGAGAUAUUCCAUAGAUACGAUGAUGGUAAUGAUGAGCCUAAGUUAGAUAUUAUAAAGUCUAUCAUGCGAUAUUUUUACGAAGUUCAUGCUACGAAUAUGAUACGAUUUUCAUAGAUUGUCUUUAAAUUCAAAUGCAUGCUCUAUGAAUAGUUAUGAUAAGUUUAUGAGAUAUAUGUGAUGAUAACGAUGACGAUGUUGAUAGUGAUGAUGAUAAUGAUGACUGUUGAUAGUGAUGAUGAUAAUGAUGAUGAUGAUAAUAGUGAUGACGCUAAAGAUAUUUAUGGGCUUUUAUGUAUAUAUGCCUAUGUAUGGCUAUUAUGAAACCUCGAGCUUAUAUGGCUGGGUAGAAUAUAUAUAUAUAUAUAUAUAUAUAUAUAUAUAUAUAUAUAUAUAUAUAUAUAUAUAUAUAUAUAUAUAUGAUGCGCGCGCACCACUGCAGUUGGGUACGGAUACCACUGAGCCUUGGUAGGGCCGGGUACGAAUAUCACUGAGCCUUGGUAGGGCCAGGCACGUAUAACACCAGGCAUUAUUAUAGCUGGGUACGUAAGACACCGAACCUAUAUAGUCGUGUACGAUACUACUAUGUUUUUAAAUGUAUGAAAAGCCCGGGAGACAUGUAUGUGAUAUUGUCGAGCCACUACGUGGCAGAAUACGGAUAAUGUUUAAUGUGUAUGAGAAGAUACGGUAUUACGAUAUAUGUAUGAUACGAUGAUGUAUGCGCUAUGAUGAUACAUGUACUGUGAUUAUAUAUGAUAUAGGCAUGAAAGUUAUCCACCCUUAAAAGUUACGCAGGUUAUGUCUUCAUCUUAUGUCUUAUGAUUUCUCUAUUAUGUUCAUUUCAUUCAAGCCUUACAUACUCAGUACAAUAUUCGUACUGACGUCCGUUUUCUUUGGACGAUGUGUUCAUGCCCACAGGUAGAUAGGGAGGCGACCCAGAUUUAUAGAAGCUGAUAAGCAGACUUUUGAGAGCACUCCAUUAUUCCGGAGGUGCCAUUGAUUUACUGUUUAGUGUGCAUAUAUGUUUUGGGCACGACGGGGCCCUGUCCCGUCCAUAUGUCUAGUAUUCUAGUAGAGGCUCGUAGAUACGUAUGUGUGGGUAGCAUGGUCUCACGAUGUUAUUGUUGUAUGUAUAUUAUUUAGAUAGCCGAAGGGCUUAUGUGUAUAAAAGUAUUCAUGUUUCCAAAUGAAAAAUGGUUUUCCUAUGAUUUGAGCAUUAGAUUAAUGAAUGAACGCUUGAUGUGUACGUUGGGUAACGGUAUGAGCGGUGCUCGGUGGUUAGCCCCGGGUACCCAUCAUGGCCCCUAAUCGGGUCGUGACACAAACAAUCCUAACCAUACUGUUGAGUUUCAAAACACUUGUGAGGUUGAAGUAGAUAAGGACACAAGUGUAAAUGAUGCAGAUGUUUAAUCUGAUGAUGAUAACAUAGAGGAUUUAGGGGAUUUAGAUGACAGUGAUGUUCAUGAAGAGGGUAGAGAGUUUAGGUCAAAUAGAAGACAUUUUAAUAGGGCACAUAGGAGACCCAGAGCUACUAAUCCUAACCAAAUUCCUAUAAAACCAAAGGGGCCAGAUAUGGGGGUAUGAUGAGACUAAUAUUGGGAGCAAGAAUAACGUAGAUGGUAUGCUAGGUGGUGAUGAACCUUAUUACGAUAGUGAUGAAGCUCCUAACUUUGAUUUAGAUGAUGAAACAAGAUGGGGUGAUGAGGAAAAGGUUGAACAAGUUGUGAAGAAACCUCUAAGAAGAAAAGUGACAAAAAAUAGAGUUGUUUUUGACAAAAGUUGUAAGAAGGUUGUUUGGGAAACUGGUUUGGUGUUUGCUAAUGUAGAAGAUUUUAUGAUGACAGUUACUCAAUAUGCAAUUCAAGAAAGAAGUCAAAUUGAAAAGUUUAUUAAUAAGCCUGUAAAAGUUAGGGUGAGAUGUUGCAAAGAGGGUUGUCCUUGGUUAUUGUAUGCUAGCUUGGAUAGUGCCACAAAUGAUUUUGUGGUUAAAAAUUACAAACCUAUUCAUGAUUGUUAUACUUCAACACAGAACCAUUUGUGCAAUUCUAAGUUUCUGAAAACUAGAUACAAGGAAAGAAUCAAUAGGCAAAAAAAUAUGAGAAUGGUAGAUUUUCAAGAGCUCAUUAAGAAGGAGCUAGAUUUUUAUGUCGGAAAGACAACAGUGAGAAGGCUUAGGGACAAAAUUUUGCAAGAGAUUAGGGGUGAUCAUGUUGUUGAGUAUGGCAGAAUAUUUGUUUAUCGAGAUGAGAUUUUAAAAUCCAAUCCAGGUACUACUUGUGUUGUUAAUGUUGGAGAUAAUACAAAAACUGGAUAUAAGAUCUUUGAAGGGUUUUAUGUUUGCUUUGAUGCCUUAAAGAAAUCAUUCUUUAGAGGUAUUAGAAAGUGUAUUGGUUUAGAUGGAUGUUUUUAAAAUGAGUGUGCAAAGGUCAGCUAUUGGUGGCAGUUUGCAAGGAUGAAAACAACCAAAUGCUGCCUAUAGCUUGGGCAGUUGUUGAAUAUGAGAAUAAAUUCACUUGGAAAUGGUUUUCGGAAUUGUUGAAGCUGUACCUUAAUCUUCGAGAUGGACAUGAACUCACAUUGACUAGUGACAUGCAAAAGAUAGGGACUGAAAAAUGUUGUUGAGGAGUUACUCCCAGAUGUUGAACACAGGUGGUGUGCAAGACACAUCCUUGCUAACUGGAACAAAGAUUACAAGGGGAUAGAAAGAAGGGAUCUGUUUUGGAAGCUUGCAAAGUCCACUUUUAAAGCUGAAGUUAAGGUGCAUAUUGAAGCUAUGAAGAUGCUUGGAGAGGAUGGUUUGCAUGCUCUCAUGUACUACAACAUUGAUAGAUGGUGCAAAAGGUUCUUCAAAGAGAACAGCAAGGUAGAUUCAGUUGACAAUAACAUGGCUGAAAGUUUUAAAACAAUUGGAUAUCGGUUGCAAAAUUCAAAAUAAUUAUCACAAUGUUGGAAGAGAUUAGAUUAAAAAUGAUGAGAAGAAUCGGUGAAUUAAGACAGUUUUCAAACACUUGGAUCACUGAUAUUUCUCCCAUGGCUUUCAAGAUUUUACAAGAAAACAUUGACAAGUCAAUGAAGUGUUCCUUGUCUUGGAAUGGUGAAAGGGAUUUUUAAAUUAGAGAUCCAUGGGGCUGUACACAUACUUUUGACAUCCAGAGGCAGACUUGUAGUUGUAGAUCUUGGCAGCCUAGAGGCAUACGUUGUGCUCAUGCAGUUGCUGCAAUACAUCACAAGAGAUUACAUCCAAUUCAUUUUGUGGCAAGCUGCUACAACAAGGAAACCUAUCUGAGAACAUAUGCUCAUUUUAUUCAGCCAAUGAACAAUAUGAAGAUGUGGCCAACUUCUAAUAAUCCAAGAGUAGAGCCACUAGUAACCAGACAGCUUCCUGGAAGGCCACCAAAAUCAAGAAGGAAGGAGGUCUAUGAAAGUAGAAAAACAAGACUGAUCAGCAGGAGGGGUGCUAUUAUGACUUGUAGUACUUGUCAGGCAAAAGGAUACAAUAAAAGAGGAUGUCCAACAGUUCCAAGGCAAACCACAGAAACAGCAGAUCAAACAGUAGAGGAAGCACAGGCUAGAACAAACAGAGGAAGGGCAAACAAAAGGAGGAUAGAACAGGAAGCUGCAAGUUGUGGAAGGGUAAAUGCAAGUUCAAAUGCUAGUGGUGGUGCAACAUAUCAAAGUCAAGAAACUCAAGGAACAACUAGUGGACAUGCUGCACAACCUUAUAAAAGGCCAAGAAUUGUGGGGGUUGGAAGAUUGGUGGCUGAUGAUGGAUUUACUACUCAAUCCUAGAAUGCCAAGUAGAAGAGCUCCAAUAAGGUCUGAUGUUGUUACUGGAGAUAUUGGCUACACACCGAAACCAUGAUUCAAGUGGAGGGGCAAACAAGCCAUGACAAGUAAUACACUUGACAAAAUUAGGGGUGAAAGAAUCAUCAAGGGAAGGUCAAAAGCUGCUGCCAUGAAUCAAAGCCAAUGUAGUACAUCUAAAAAACCAUGGAAAUAGUUGGUUUAGUUGUUUUACUACUGUUUUUGUUGGGUUGCUAUUAGUAAAAAACCAUGGAAAUAGUUGGUUUAGUUAUUCAUAUUUUUGGCUAUGUAUUCAGUGGCAAAACCCUUACUUGUAGCAUUUUAUGCAACUGUUUUUUGGCUACUGUGCUGUUUUUGUACAUUUAUUGUGCUGUUUUUGUGCAACAAUUAAUGCAGGUAAUGAUAUUCAGCUUAAUUGUGUUGUUUAA